This 223-nucleotide ribosomal RNA is filed under the name uncultured bacterium. Its description in RNAcentral is "partial 16S ribosomal RNA". It matches the Rfam family "Bacterial small subunit ribosomal RNA", at positions 127 to 334 of the family's 1533-position model. The record is from RNAcentral.
CGCCCUUCAGAGGGGGACAACAGUUGGAAACGACUGCUAAUACCGCAUACGAUCCAAUCUCGGCAUCGAGACUGGAUGAAAGGUGGCCUCUAUUUAUAAGCUAUCGCUGAAGGAGGGGAUUGCGUCUGAUUAGCUAGUUGGAGGGGUAACGGCCCACCAAGGCGAUGAUCAGUAGCCGGUCUGAGAGGAUGAACGGCCACAUUGGGACUGAGACACGGCCCAG